This 1179-nucleotide ribosomal RNA is filed under the name Triticum aestivum (bread wheat). RNAcentral's name for it is "partial small subunit ribosomal RNA". The record is from RNAcentral. Lineage: Eukaryota; Viridiplantae; Streptophyta; Magnoliopsida; Poales; Poaceae.
AUGGCAGCAUCGCCGCCGCGCCGCCGGGCCUCGCCGCCGGCGAUCCUGGACGAGCUAUUCGAAGAGAUCCUCCUCCGUCUCCCACCCGACGACCCCGCCUGCCUCCUCCGCGCCUCCCUCGUCUGCAAGGCCUGGAGCCACACCGUCUCCAGCCCCAGAUUCCGCCGCCGCCUCCAUGAGCUCCACCGCACACCCCCCGUGCUCGGCGUCCUCCACAACUGGGAAGACGAUGCCAUCCCGCGAUUCAUCCCCACCACCGCAUCGUCCUUCUCCCUCGCCGCUCCGGACUCUCGCUCCUGGCGGGCCCUUGACUGCCGCCACGGCCGCGCCCUCUUCCUCUCCAAGCGCCAGGACGCCGAGGAGCUCCUUGUGUGGGAGCCAAUCACGGGCACCCAGCAGCGCGUACCUGUGCCCGCGGCGUUCCACGGCGACUACCCUACGGCUGUCGUGUUGUGCGCAGUGGACGGGUGCGACCACCGCGACUGCUUCGGGGGCCCUUUUCGCGUGGUCUUGGUCUUCUGUGUCGACGAAGAAGACACUGAGCAAGAUCCGUUUCUCACGUCGGCCGCCGUGUACUCGUCGGAGACCGGCGCCUGGGGCGAGCUGACCUCGAUGCACGGCCAGUUCGUGAUGUACUUUGAAUAUUAUUGCAGCGUGGUCGUUGGGAAGUCACUGCUAUACUUCUUGUCCGACGGUCAGUUGAUCCUGGAGUAUGAUUUAGUGAGGCACGGGCUGACUGUGUUCAACACACCUGAUUGCCAACCCGAUUACAUGUCUGAUGAUGAUGGGUUGGACUACAGGUUUAACCUCAUGCUGGCGGAGAGCGGUGCACUCGGGGUUAAUGAAGAACUGGGUCAGCGUCUCAAAUUGUGGACAAAGGAGCCAAGUUACGGCACUGAUGCAGUAUGGGUACUUAGCCGGGUCAUCAACUUGAAAAUUUUGCUUCCAAAUGAUGCUCUCCUGGAUGCAACAACUUCAGUGCAAGUGUUGGGCUUUGCUGAGGAAGCAAAUGUCACUUUGGUGAUGACGGUUGCUGGCCUCUUCUCAAUCGAACUACAAUCCAAGCGGGUGAGGAAGGUGUGCGGUCAUCGUGGCUUCUGUAAUCUCAUUCCAGUUGUCAGCUUCUACACUCCGCAUUCUAGGCUCAAAGAACUCGGGGGCGAACACCAUGACCCAUAG